GAUGAACGCUGGCGGCGUGCCUAAUACAUGCAAGUCGAGCGAACAGACGAGGAGCUUGCUCCUCUGACGUUAGCGGCGGACGGGUGAGUAACACGUGGAUAACCUACCUAUAAGACUGGGAUAACUUCGGGAAACAGGAGCUAAUACCGGAUAAUAUAUUGAACCGCAUGGUUCAAUAGUGAAAGACGGUUUUGCUGUCACUUAUAGAUGGAUCCGCGCCGCAUUAGCUAGUUGGUAAGGUAACGGCUUACCAAGGCAACGAUGCGUAGCCGACCUGAGAGGGUGAUCAGCCACACUGGAACUGAGACACGGUCCAGACUCCUACGGGAGGCAGCAGUAGGGAAUCUUCCGCAAUGGGCGAAAGCCUGACGGAGCAACGCCGCGUGAGUGAUGAAGGUCUUCGGAUCGUAAAACUCUGUUAUUAGGAAAGAACAAAUGUGUAAGUAACUAUGCACGUCUUGACGGUACCUAAUCAGAAAGCCACGGCUAACUUCGUG
Molecule: ribosomal RNA, 497 nt
Filed under: uncultured bacterium
Lineage: Bacteria
Description: partial 16S ribosomal RNA
Rfam family: Bacterial small subunit ribosomal RNA
Source: RNAcentral